CACAGAGUCAGUGUACUUUGUGGUCAGUAUACAGUAUUUUUGUGGUGCUGGGGCUUGAACCCCAGGCCUUGCUUGUGCUAGGAAAGUACUUUACCACUGAGCUACAUCCUUACCCCUUUCAUUGCUAAUAUGUUAAAAAACAUUUUUUAAAAUAACUUUUAUUUAUUUAUUUAUUUAUUUAUGCGGUGCUGGGGAUCCAACCCAGGGCCUUGCACAUGGGAGGCGAGUGCUCUACUGCUGAGCCAUAACCCCAACUCCUAAAAAACAUUUUUUAAAAAUGUUUUUAUUGUAUAUCCUGCAAUCUUGUUGAACUCAUUUAUUAGUUCUAGUACUUUUUUUUGUAGAUUACACUAGGUUUUCUACAGGCCAUGUCAUCUGUGAAUAAAUAUAAUUUGUUUCGUAAUCUGAAUAUCUUUUGUCUUUUUUUUUAAUCGCUGGCUAGCUCCUCCAGUAUAAUGUUGAAAAUAAGUGAUGAGAAUAAACAUCCUUGCCUUAUUUGUAAACUUAAUGGGAAAGUAUGAUUUUUUUUUUUUUUUCCUGGUACCGAGGAUUGAACAAACCCAGGGGUGCUUAAUCACUGAGCCACAUCCCCAGCCCUUUUUAUGUUUUUAUUUAGAGACAGGGUCUCCUGAAGUUGCUUAAACUUUCACUAAGUUGCUGAAUCUGGCUUUGAACUUGUGAUCCUCCUGCCUCAGGCUCCUAAACUGCUGGGAUUACAGGUGUGUGCCACUUCGACUAGUGGAAAGUAUGAUUUUAACUGUAGUUUUUUAUGUGUCCCCUUUGUUGAGUUGAGUAGUAUACCUUUUAUUCUUGGUUUGUUGAAAGGUUUUUGGUUUUUGUGGGGUUUUUUGGUACUUGGGGUUUAACCCAGGGCACAUUUAUGCUAG
RNAcentral lists this long non-coding RNA (887 nucleotides) under Marmota monax (woodchuck). The record is from RNAcentral. Lineage: Eukaryota; Metazoa; Chordata; Mammalia; Rodentia; Sciuridae.